Non-coding RNA from Pelobates cultripes (western spadefoot toad), 202 nucleotides. The record is from the annotation of a GenBank genome assembly. Lineage: Eukaryota; Metazoa; Chordata; Amphibia; Anura; Pelobatidae.
CUUAUGUCGGCUGUCAAGACCGGUCUGGACAGCAAGUAUUUGUUUACUCUCCAUUUGUUUAUCGUGGGCCUACACUGAGGGUAGUGGUGUUGUGUAGACAGGCUCAGGCACUGAGACUAGUGGUGUUGUGGAGACAGGCUUGGAGACUAUGGUGAGGCCUAAUAGAAAGCAGUUGUUGUUGGGGGAUUCCAUCAUAAGAGGU